AUUGAACGCUGGCGGCAGGCCUAACACAUGCAAGUCGAGCGGGGUCUUCGGACCUAGCGGCGGACGGGUGAGUAAUGCGUAGGAAGCUACCCGAUAGAGGGGGAUACCAGUUGGAAACGACUGUUAAUACCGCAUAAUGUCUACGGACCAAAGUGUGGGACCUUCGGGCCACAUGCUAUCGGAUGCGCCUACGUGGGAUUAGCUAGUUGGUGGGGUAAUGGCUCACCAAGGCGACGAUCCCUAGCUGGUUUGAGAGGAUGAUCAGCCACACUGGGACUGAGACACGGUCCAGACUCCUACGGGAGGCAGCUGUGGGGAAUAUUGGACAAUGGGCGCAAGCCUGAUCCAGCCAUGCCGCGUGUGUGAAGAAGGCCUUCGGGUUGUAAAGCACUUUCAGUAGGGAGGAAGAGUGUUGUGUUAAUAGCUCAGCAUUUUGACGUUACCUACAGAAGAAGCACCGGCUAACUCUGUGCCAGCCGCCGCAGUAA
This 488-nucleotide ribosomal RNA is filed under the name uncultured bacterium. Its description in RNAcentral is "partial 16S ribosomal RNA". It matches the Rfam family "Bacterial small subunit ribosomal RNA", at positions 30 to 523 of the family's 1533-position model. The record is from RNAcentral.